UCUAGUAGCUGGUUCCCUCCGAAGUUUCCCUCAGGAUAGCUGGUGCAUUUUAAUAUUAUAUAAAAUAAUCUUAUCUGGUAAAGCGAAUGAUUAGAGGCCUUAGAGUCGAAACGAUCUUAACCUAUUCUCAAACUUUAAAUGGGUAAGAACCUCACCUUUCUUGCUAUGAAGGUUGAGGUUAUGAUAUAAUGUGCCCAGUGGGCCACUUUUGGUAAGCAGAACUGGCGCUGUGGGAUGAACCAAACGUAAUGUUACGGUGCCCAAAUUAACAACUCAUGCAGAUACCAUGAAAGGCGUUGGUUGCUUAAAACAGCAGGACGGUGGACAUGGAAGUCGUAAUCCGCUAAGGAGUGUGUAACAACUCACCUGCCGAAGCAACUAGCCCUUAAAAUGGAUGGCGCUUAAGUUGUAUACCUAUACAUUACCGCUAAAGUAUAUGAUUUAUAUUCAAUUUCGAUUGAAUUUAUAAAUUUUGAAACUUUAGUGAGUAGGAGGGUACAAUGGUGUGCUUAGAAGUGUUUGGCGUAAGCCUGCAUGGAGCCGCUAUUGGUACAGAUCUUGGUGGUAGUAGCAAAUAAUCGAAUGAGACCUUGGAGGACUGAAGUGGAGAAGGGUUUCGUGUGAACAGUGGUUGAUCACGAGUUAGUCGGUCCUAAGUUCAAGGCGAAAGCCGAAAAUUUUCAAGUUUUAAUAAAAUUUUAUAAAUACAAACUAAAUUUAUAUUAAUACACUUGAAUAAUUUUGAACGAAAGGGAAUACGGUUCCAAUUCCGUAACCUGUUGAGUAUCCGUUUGUUAUUAAAAUGGGCCUUGUGCUCAUCCUGGCAACAGGAACGACCAUAAAGAAGCCGUCGAGAGAUAUCGGAAGAGUUUUCUUUUCUGUUUUAUAGUCGUACUACCAUGGAAGUCUUUCGAAGAGAGAUAUGGUAGAUGGACUAGAAGAGCAUGACAUUUACUGUUGUGUCGAUAUUUUCUCCUCGGACCUUGAAAAUUUAUGGUGGGGUCACGCAAACUUCUCAACAGGCCGUACCGAUAU
Molecule: ribosomal RNA, 1035 nt
Filed under: Tritoxa flexa (black onion fly)
Lineage: Eukaryota; Metazoa; Arthropoda; Insecta; Diptera; Ulidiidae
Description: eukaryotic LSU rRNA
Rfam family: Eukaryotic large subunit ribosomal RNA
Source: RNAcentral